This is a long non-coding RNA of Pleuronectes platessa (European plaice), 543 nucleotides long. RefSeq lists it as uncharacterized. The record is from RefSeq and is a predicted model, not a curated record. The transcript is spliced from 3 exons. Lineage: Eukaryota; Metazoa; Chordata; Actinopteri; Pleuronectiformes; Pleuronectidae.
CAUAAAUGACUGGCAGAAGACGACCAAGAGGAAGUCCACCGCAUACAGCCACGAGUACUUGACCUGGUUGUGUGGAGCUCAGACAAAAUGUUUCUAUACUUUCUCCCAUGUCGCUUUAAAGUCUGGAUCCAAAUGGAGAUCACCACCCUGGAAAAGGUGUCAUGACUCCAACCUCCAUCUUUACAUAAUCAGACCACGUGUCAGAGCAGCAGGAAGUCACUGUCCUACAGGAGGACCUCAGAAAAGUGAACAACAUGCUGGUGCUUGUGAGGAUGAGCCUUGUCGAGCCGUGAGGAGAAACAUUCAGAUGUUAGUAAAUGGUUGUUGAUAUCCUGUAAUUGACAGCAUGGAAGAAUUCUGUUUUACUCUUGAAAUAGUAAAUGCAGUCAGACACUAUGCAAAAUUAUUGUUUUCACACACUGACUCAAUAACAGAAGAGUGCUUGUUCUGUGCCUCUUUUUUUUAUCUCAGAGUGAAUACAGCAACGUAUUAAUAGUUUGGAUUAUAUGAUUUUUAUAUGCAACUGAAUAUUCUUUCAUUGAC